RNAcentral lists this ribosomal RNA (214 nucleotides) under uncultured bacterium. RNAcentral's name for it is "partial 16S ribosomal RNA". It matches the Rfam family "Bacterial small subunit ribosomal RNA", at positions 28 to 220 of the family's 1533-position model. The record is from RNAcentral.
GGCGAACGCUGGCGGCGUGCCUAAUACAUGCAAGUCGAACGAACUCUGGUAUUGAUUGGUGCUUGCAUCAUGAUUUACAUUUGAGUGAGUGGCGAACUGGUGAGUAACACGUGGGAAACCUGCCCAGAAGCGGGGGAUAACACCUGGAAACAGAUGCUAAUACCACAUAACAACUUGGACCGCAUGGUCCGAGCUUGAGAGAUGGCUUCGGCUA